GGUUCCAUAGUGUAGCGGUUAGCACAUUCACUUUACACACAGAAGGUCCUGGGUUCGCGCCCCUGUGGAGCCA
Molecule: transfer RNA, 73 nt
Filed under: Pteropus alecto (black flying fox)
Lineage: Eukaryota; Metazoa; Chordata; Mammalia; Chiroptera; Pteropodidae
Rfam family: tRNA
About the family: Transfer RNA (tRNA) molecules are approximately 80 nucleotides in length. Their secondary structure includes four short double-helical elements and three loops (D, anti-codon, and T loops).
Source: Rfam by way of RNAcentral